UCCCUUUAUAGAUUCAGAGAUUUGAGCUGCAUAAUCAACCCUGUGUUAGUUUCUUGCUUCAUAAAUUUCCAAAGUUCAUAAAUUUUUCAAUUUUCCGGUAAUCUGUUUUGUAGAAAGCUGCAAUGAAGAUCAACCUCAUUUUUUUUCCGGUGGUUUUGCUUUUCCAUUUUGAUGCAAAAGGAGCAAUACAGGAAGCCAAAUCAUGGGAUGAAUUUGAAUCCAUUAUGAAGAAAGGUGGCUAUUUUUGUUUGGUUCUACUCGACUAUCCUACAAAAGAAGAUAGUAUAAUUAUUGUGGACCAAGCCUGCAUUAGAUACCCAAAAGUCAAAUGCUACUAUGGAAUGGCAGAUCCAAAAGCUCCACCAACUUCUUUCAAUGCACAUUACCAUAGCGUAGGCAUUCCUGCAUUAUAUUACUACAAAGAUGGUAAACUGAUAAAAACCAUCGACCACCCAAGCGAUGUCGAUACAACUAGAGACGAAAUUGAAGCAGGACUCGCAUCGUUGAUGUAAUAUUCCACAUGCGCUACACUGUAUCAUUGAAAACAAUAAUAUGAUUAUUCAAAAUUCCAGUAUGUGAGAGUUGUUUGUUUGUAAUACUAUAUAUUUCUUCUAUGAAACUUCUGGUUUCAAACUUAAUCAUCAAUAAAUUAUUAUUGCUUCAAUAUUCGAUCGAGAACCUACUUAGUAACUUACCCAUUUUGUUCUAGAAAAAUGUAUGAAGUUAGCAGAAUCUUAUUGACAGGUAGUUUCCGUAGGGAAAAUAUUUUGAUAAAAUUUACAACAUAUUUCGUUCUUCGAAUUACAAAUAGUUUGCUCAAUAAAUGAUAAAUUUAUUAGGUGAUAAAAUGUUGUUGUUUAUCAAGCUACCAUGAUUCUUUUAGGGCCGGUUUACGAGCUCGGGAUUCAGCUAAGUUCCAGCUGUUUAAAGUUCAGAACUCAGCUAAAUCCUGAGCUCGGAACCGGCCCUUAUUGUCACCGCAAUGAAAUUGCUUACUCACUAAAUGAAAAUUUUCUCACCAAAGUCCAACUGAGGAAAUUGUUAUUCUAAUAUCACAUUCUUUUCUCCUGAAAAAUCUUAAACCCAAACACAAAAAUCAACCAAUGAAAUAAGUACUUAAAUCCUACUCAUGUCACAAUAGUAUAUACCUACAUUUCCAAGAUCUGAAUAGCACAAUAGUAACCAGCAGUUUUCAUUGCUGCAGCAAAAGAAUAUGUAAACAAUUAUUGCAAUAAAAAAAUAAUCUAUGGAUGAUUAAGUUUGAAACAAGAGGUAAAAGAUUGCUGUACUCUGGAUCACAUUGGGCUUUGUUCAAAAUAAUUUACUUUUUACUGUGUGGAGUGUUGAUUGAAUAAAUAAUGUUUUAUCCAAGUA
This 1374-nucleotide unclassified non-coding RNA is filed under the name Nilaparvata lugens (brown planthopper). Its description in RNAcentral is "uncharacterized LOC111059238, transcript variant X1". Lineage: Eukaryota; Metazoa; Arthropoda; Insecta; Hemiptera; Delphacidae. The record is from RNAcentral.